This 460-nucleotide ribosomal RNA is filed under the name uncultured bacterium. Its description in RNAcentral is "partial 16S ribosomal RNA". It matches the Rfam family "Bacterial small subunit ribosomal RNA", at positions 338 to 795 of the family's 1533-position model. The record is from RNAcentral.
CCUACGGGAGGCAGCAGUGAGGAAUAUUGGUCAAUGGACGAGAGUCUGAACCAGCCAAGUAGCGUGAAGGAUGACUGCCCUAUGGGUUGUAAACUUCUUUUAUAUGGGAAUAAAAUGUUCCACGUGUGGGAGUUUGUAUGUACCAUAUGAAUAAGGAACGGCUAACUCCGUGCCAGCAGCCGCGGGAAGAAGGAGGAUCCGAGCGUUGUCCGGAUUUAUUGGGUUUAAAGGGAGCGUAGGUGGAUUGUUAAGUCAGUUGUUAAAGUUUGCGGCUCAACCGUAAAAUUGCAGUUGAAAAUGGCAGUCUUGAGUACAGUAGAGGUGGGCGGAAUUCGUGGUGUAGCGGUGAAAUGCUUAGAUAUCACGAAGAACUCCGAUUGCGAAGGCAGCUCACUGGACUGCAACUGACACUGAGGCUCGAAAGUGUGGGUAUCAAACAGGAUUAGAUACCCGUGUAGUC